Molecule: ribosomal RNA, 375 nt
Filed under: uncultured bacterium
Lineage: Bacteria
Description: bacterial SSU rRNA
Rfam family: Bacterial small subunit ribosomal RNA
Source: RNAcentral
AUACGUAGGGGGCAAGCGUUGUCCGGAAUUACUGGGCGUAAAGCGCACGCAGGCGGAAUUGUAAGUCCGUUGUAAAAUUCAGAGGCUCAACCUCUGUCUGUCGGCGGGUACUGCAAAUCUAGAGUAUGUGAGAGGGAAGUGGAAUUCCUGGUGUAGCGGUGAAAUGCGUAGAUAUCAGGAGGAACUCCGGUGGCGAAGGCGACUUCCCGGCACAAGACUGACGCUCAUGUGCGAAAGCUAGGGUAGCGAACGGGAUUAGAUACCCCGGUAGUCCUAGCCGUAAAUGAUGGAUACUAGGUGUGGGUGUCGCAGGGCAUCCGUGCCGCAGUUAACGCGUUAAGUAUCCCGCCUGGGGACUACGGUCGCAAGACUGAA